RNAcentral lists this ribosomal RNA (491 nucleotides) under Stutzerimonas balearica. RNAcentral's name for it is "bacterial SSU rRNA". It matches the Rfam family "Bacterial small subunit ribosomal RNA", at positions 36 to 522 of the family's 1533-position model. Lineage: Bacteria; Pseudomonadati; Pseudomonadota; Gammaproteobacteria; Pseudomonadales; Pseudomonadaceae. The record is from RNAcentral.
CUGGCGGCAGGCCUAACACAUGCAAGUCGAGCGGCAGCGGGUCCUUCGGGAUGCCGGCGAGCGGCGGACGGGUGAGUAAUGCCUAGGAAUCUGCCUGGUAGUGGGGGAUAACUCGGGGAAACUCGAGCUAAUACCGCAUACGUCCUACGGGAGAAAGCGGGGGAUCUUCGGACCUCGCGCUACCAGAUGAGCCUAGGUCGGAUUAGCUAGUUGGUGAGGUAAAGGCUCACCAAGGCGACGAUCCGUAGCUGGUCUGAGAGGAUGAUCAGCCACACUGGAACUGAGACACGGUCCAGACUCCUACGGGAGGCAGCAGUGGGGAAUAUUGGACAAUGGGCGAAAGCCUGAUCCAGCCAUGCCGCGUGUGUGAAGAAGGUCUUCGGAUUGUAAAGCACUUUAAGUUGGGAGGAAGGGCAGUAAGCUAAUACCUUGCUGUUUUGACGUUACCGACAGAAUAAGCACCGGCUUACUUNGUGCCAGCAGCCGCGGUA